CUGAGUUAUCCAACUCCCCAAACCCCUGUGAACAUACCUAUGUUGCUUCGGCGGGCCGUCCCGCGGCGCGCCCACGUGGCGUGACCCGGACCCAGGCGCCCGCCGGGGAACCAAACUCUUGUCUUCCAGUGUCUCCUCUGAGUGGCAUAAGCAAAAAUAAACA
This 163-nucleotide unclassified non-coding RNA is filed under the name soil metagenome. Its description in RNAcentral is "partial internal transcribed spacer 1". The record is from RNAcentral.